AGAUUGAACGCUGGCGGCAGGCCUAACACAUGCAAGUCGAGCGGUAGAGAGGUGCUUGCACCUCUUGAGAGCGGCGGACGGGUGAGUAAUGCCUAGGAAUCUGCCUAGUGGUGGGGGAUAACGUUCGGAAACGGACGCUAAUACCGCAUACGUCCUACGGGAGAAAGCGGGGGACCUUCGGGCCUCGCGCCAUUAGAUGAGCCUAGGUCGGAUUAGCUAGUUGGUGAGGUAAUGGCUCACCAAGGCGACGAUCCGUAACUGGUCUGAGAGGAUGAUCAGUCACACUGGAACUGGAGACACGGUCCAGACUCCUACGGGAGGCAGCGAGGUAGGGGAAUAGUUGGAACAAGUGGGACGAAGCCUGACUCCAGCCAUGCCGCGUGUGUAGAGAGGUUCUCGGAUUGUAAGCUAAGUUUAGGUGGAGUAAGGUUGUAACUUAGUACGUUGACUACGUUUGACGUUACGA
Molecule: ribosomal RNA, 466 nt
Filed under: uncultured soil bacterium
Lineage: Bacteria
Description: bacterial SSU rRNA
Rfam family: Bacterial small subunit ribosomal RNA
Source: RNAcentral